Molecule: ribosomal RNA, 687 nt
Filed under: uncultured bacterium
Lineage: Bacteria
Description: bacterial SSU rRNA
Rfam family: Bacterial small subunit ribosomal RNA
Source: RNAcentral
ACGGGUGAGUAACGCGUGGGCAACCUGCCUCGCACCGUGGGAUAACAGGGGGAAGCUCCUGCUAAUACCGCAUAAAGUAUAUAGAUGCAUGUCAAUAUACAAAAAGGGAUACCGGUGAGAGAUGGGCCCGCGUCCGAUUAGAUAGUUGGCAGGAUAGCAGCCUACCAAGUCAACGAUCGGUAGCCGGCUUGAGAGAGUGGACGGCCACACUGGGACUGAGACACGGCCCAGACUCCUACGGGAGGCAGCAGUGGGGAAUAUUGGACAAUGGGGGCAACCCUGAUCCAGCGACGCCGCGUGAGUGAAGAAGUAUCUCGGUACGUAAAGCUCUAUCAGCAGGGAAGAAAAAAAGACGGUACCUGACUAAGAAGCCCCGGCUAACUACGUGCCAGCAGCCGCGGUAAUACGUAGGGGGCAAGCGUUAUCCGGAAUUACUGGGUGUAAAGGGAGCGUAGACGGCUAUGCAAGCCUGGAGUGAAAUGCCGGGGCUCAACCCCGGAGCUGCUCUGGAAACUGCGUGGCUUGAGUGUCGGAGGGGCAGGCGGAAUUCCCAGUGUAGCGGUGAAAUGCGUAGAUAUUGGGAGGAACACCGGCGGCGAAGCGGCCUGCUGGACGACAACUGACGUUGAGGCUCGAAGGCGUGGGUAGCAACAGGAUUAGAUACCCUGGUAGUCCACGCAGUAAACG